RNAcentral lists this ribosomal RNA (587 nucleotides) under uncultured bacterium. Its description in RNAcentral is "bacterial SSU rRNA". It matches the Rfam family "Bacterial small subunit ribosomal RNA", at positions 338 to 916 of the family's 1533-position model. The record is from RNAcentral.
CCUACGGGAGGCAGCAGUGGGGAAUUUUGGACAAUGGGCGCAAGCCUGAUCCAGCAAUGCCGCGUGCAGGAUGAAGGCCUUCGGGUUGUAAACUGCUUUUGUACGGAACGAAACGGCGAGCUCUAAUAAAGUUCGCUAAUGACGGUACCGUAAGAAUAAGCACCGGCUAACUACGUGCCAGCAGCCGCGGUAAUACGUAGGGUGCAAGCGUUAAUCGGAAUUACUGGGCGUAAAGCGUGCGCAGGCGGUGAUGUAAGACAGAUGUGAAAUCCCCGGGCUCAACCUGGGACCUGCAUUUGUGACUGCAUCGCUAGAGUACGGUAGAGGGGGAUGGAAUUCCGCGUGUAGCAGUGAAAUGCGUAGAUAUGCGGAGGAACACCGAUGGCGAAGGCAAUCCCCUGGACCUGUACUGACGCUCAUGCACGAAAGCGUGGGGAGCAAACAGGAUUAGAUACCCUGGUAGUCCACGCCCUAAACGAUGUCAACUGGUUGUUGGGUCUUCACUGACUCAGUAACGAAGCUAACGCGUGAAGUUGACCGCCUGGGGAGUACGGCCGCAAGGUUGAAACGUCAAAUGAAAUUGACGG